This 329-nucleotide ribosomal RNA is filed under the name uncultured eukaryote. RNAcentral's name for it is "partial 18S ribosomal RNA". It matches the Rfam family "Eukaryotic small subunit ribosomal RNA", at positions 1470 to 1796 of the family's 1831-position model. The record is from RNAcentral.
CCCUUAGAUGUUCUGGGCCGAACGCGCGCUACACUGAUGCAUUCAACGAGUCUAAAACCUGCUCUGAUAGGGGUGGGUAAUCUUUUGAAUGUGCAUCGUGAUUGGGAUAGAUGAUUGCAAUUUUUCAUCUUCAACGAGGAAUGCCUAGUAAACGCAAGUCAUCAGCUUGCAUUGAUUACGUCCCUGCCCUUUGUACACACCGCCCGUCGCUCCUACCGAUUGAAUGAUCCGAUGAAUAUCAUGGAUUGAGGAUGCAAGUAGGUUAGCCUAUCUUCAUCUUCGAGAAGUGAAGUAAAUCUUAUCAUUUAGAGGAAGGAGAAGUCGUAACA